RNAcentral lists this ribosomal RNA (406 nucleotides) under uncultured bacterium. RNAcentral describes it as "partial 16S ribosomal RNA". It matches the Rfam family "Bacterial small subunit ribosomal RNA", at positions 29 to 526 of the family's 1533-position model. The record is from RNAcentral.
AUUGAACGCUGGCGGCAGGCCUAACACAUGCAAGUCGAGCGAGCGGCGGACGGGUGAGUAAUGUCUGGGAAACUGCCUGAUGGAGGGGGAUACCUACUGGAAACGGUAGCUAAUACCGCAUACCAUCAGAUGUGCGCAGAUGGGAUUAGCUAGUGGGUGGGGUAACGGCUCACCUAGGAGACGAUCCCUAGCUGGUCGGAGAGGUUUACCAGCCACACGGGAGCUGAGACGCGGUCCAGAGUCCAUCGGGAGGCAGCAGUGGGGAAUAUUGCACAAUGGGCGCAAGCCUGAUGCAGGCAGGCCGCGUGUGUGAAGAAGGCCUUCGGGUUGUAAAGCUCUUUCAGCGGUGAGGCGUUACCCGCAGAAGAAGCACCGGCUAACUCCGUGCCAGCAGCCGCGGUAAUUC